CCUACGGGUGGCAGCAGUGAGGAAUAUUGGUCAAUGGACGAGAGUCUGAACCAGCCAAGUAGCGUGAAGGAUGACUGCCCUAUGGGUUGUAAACUUCUUUUAUAUGGGAAUAAAACAGGGUAUGCAUACCCUCUUGUAUGUACCAUAUGAAUAAGGAUCGGCUAACUCCGUGCCAGCAGCCGCGGUAAUACGGAAGGUCCGGGCGUUAUCCGGAUUUAUUGGGUUUAAAGGGAGCGUAGGCCGCAUGUCAAGCGUGCUGUGAAAUGUCCGGGCUCAACCCGGGCCUUGCAGCGCGAACUGGCGUGCUUGAGUCCGCGGAAAGCAGGCGGAAUUCGUCGUGUAGCGGUGAAAUGCUUAGAUAUGACGAAGAACCCCGAUUGCGAAGGCAGCUUGCUGCAGCGGAACUGACGCUGAUGCUCGAAAGCGCGGGUAUCGAACAGGAUUAGAUACCCCUGUAGUC
Molecule: ribosomal RNA, 460 nt
Filed under: uncultured bacterium
Lineage: Bacteria
Description: partial 16S ribosomal RNA
Rfam family: Bacterial small subunit ribosomal RNA
Source: RNAcentral